This 311-nucleotide ribosomal RNA is filed under the name Euobrimus cf. cavernosus SB0154. Its description in RNAcentral is "partial 12S ribosomal RNA". The record is from RNAcentral. Lineage: Eukaryota; Metazoa; Arthropoda; Insecta; Phasmatodea; Heteropterygidae.
CCCAAAGAAUUUGGCGGUGUUUUAUUCUAAUCAGAGGAACUUGUCCCGUUAUCGAUAGUCCUCGUUUUAUCUUGCUUGAUUUAUUUAGUAUGUAUACCGCCGUUAUAAGUUUAUUUUUUUAGAAUUUUAUUUACUGGUAAUUUUAUUUUAUUUUAUUUCAGGUCAAGGUGCAGCUUAUAAUUAAGUGGUGGUGAGUUACAUUAUUAUUUGAAUAAAUGGAUUUUUUUUUUGAAAUUUUUUAAUGAAGGUGGAUUUGAUGGUAAUUUUAUUUAUUAAUUUAUUUUGAAAUUAGCUCUAAGACAAGUACACAU